Pristis pectinata (smalltooth sawfish) is the source of this 5401-nucleotide RNA transcript. It is a transcript of the gene named SEC14-like protein 2, with no coding region annotated. The transcript is spliced from 14 exons. The record is from RefSeq and is a predicted model, not a curated record. Lineage: Eukaryota; Metazoa; Chordata; Chondrichthyes; Rhinopristiformes; Pristidae.
AAAAGUCCUGCCGAGACCAAAUUAGUCUUCUGUAGGCCUCAGAUCCCUAAGCAUUAAGAUUUCCGUACUUUGCCUGGCUGCAGUCUUGCUGGAUCACGGACAUCCUUUCACCGGUUUUGGAGACCAGCAGAGGGAGGAGUGGAUUGGAGAGGCGGUGCGAUGCGUCAAGGGCGAGGCGAAGCGUAGUAACAUUUCACCAGAAGCGAGUUGUCAGUUCAACUGCAGAAGCUGCAAUGAGCGGCAGAGUCGGCGACCUUAGUCUGAAGCAGGCGGAAACUCUCGCUAAGUUCCGAGAGAAUAUUCAAGAUAUCUUGCCUAGUCUUCCUGUUCAGGAUGACCACUUCCUGCUGCGAUGGCUUAGAGCCAGGGGUUUCAAUCUUCAGAAAGCAGAGCAUAUGGUUCGCAAGCAUGUAGAGUUCAGAAGACAGAUGAAAGUUGACACACUCACUAGCAACUGGGAACCUCCUGAGGUUAUCACUCGUUAUUUUGCUGGAGGUAUGUGUGGCUAUGACAAAGAAGGCAGCCCUAUAUGGUAUGAUGUGAUUGGGCCUUUGGAUCCAAAAGGUUUGAUGCAUUCAGCUUCUAAACAGGAUUUUUUAAAAACAAAAAUCCGAGACUGUGAACUGCUGCGAGAAGAGUGUAUUAAACAAUCUAAAAAGCACGGGAAACAUAUUGAAGCAAUCACAAUGAUCUAUGACUGUGAGAAUUUAGGAUUGAAGCAUCUAUGGAAACCUGCGGUUGAACUGUAUGGAGAAGUACUUACCAUGUUUGAGGAUAAUUACCCUGAGGGGUUAAAGAUGUUGUUUGUUAUCAAAGCACCAAAAAUUUUCCCUGUGGCCUACAACCUUAUAAAACAUUUUCUUAGUGAAGACACGCGCAAGAAAAUUCAAGUUCUAGGUGGUAAUUGGAAGGAGGUGCUAUUACAGAAUAUUGAUGCUGAACAACUUCCUGUUUAUUAUGGUGGAACUCUCACAGAUCCAGAUGGCAAUCCUCGGUGUAAGUGCAAGAUAAAUCUUGGUGGUGAUGUACCAAAGUCAUAUUACAUCCUUGAAUCCAUUAAACAACAAUAUGAAAACACAGUCACUGUCAACAGGGGAUCUUCUUUUCAAUCUGAAUAUGAGAUCCUCUUCCCUGGCUGUGUUUUGAGGUGGCAAUUCAUGACUGAGAAUGCAGACAUUGGGUUUGGUGUAUAUCUGAAGACAAAGAUUGGAGAACGACAGAAGGCUGGUGAAAUGGUAGAAAUGGUCUCCAGCCAGCGAUACAAUAGUCACCUGGUGCCUGAGGAUGGAACACUUACCUGCAUGGAACCUGGAAUCUAUGUUUUAAGAUUUGACAAUACAUACAGCAUCAUUCAUUCCAAGAAGGUUAGCUACUCAGUGGAAGUGCUACUGCCAGAUAAGGGGUCAGAAGCACAGAUGGAUGAUCUUGGGAAGAAGAUAAAAGAAAUGGAUGUCAAUGAUAAAUAGGAACAUCAUGAUUAAAGGAGUCUGUAAGGCUGUUUUACAAUGAAUUGAUUUUAUUUUUUGUGCUGUGUAGACAGUGAAUGCAAUGGCAUGUUUUAAUGAUUGGCUAUUCUUGACAAACUAUCAUAGUGUGUACAUUUUGUCCUAAAUGAAAUGCUGUUGAAUAAUCUAUGGAUUAUCAUGAUCCAGCCAAAAUUGGAAUAAAUAAAUAGCUAAUUAUGCAUGUGUAGUGGUUGCUACCGCGAAAUAAAACAAGACGCUAGUCGGAGGAUUGUUGAACAAGAACUGGUUUAUUUUCCCGCCUUGCGCGGGCCCUUUAAGGGAAACUGUUCCCGCCCAAUCCAACCGGCAAUGACGUAAGUACUACGUCAUCAAGACUUUCCCGCGCGCGGGUUCUCCCCGUCGCUCGGGAAAGACGAGGCCCGCCGCCAUCUUGGGCCUCGUCACUCCGACGCCGUUCGACCCGACUGCCGAGCCGGUUCAACCGACUAAACGGUGAGUCGCCACACAUGCUACUUUUACCAUCAGUAGGGUCAUUGGGAUAUACCCAACUUUUUUGAAAAAGAUUCAGCAUUGAGUCUAUUAUUUAUACAUAAAUGGCCAAAUUAGUCUGGGGUUAUGGAUAUAUUCUAAUAUUUGGCUUCUGUACUGUUUAGUGCCAUAGUCAUAGAAUCAUACAGGAUUGAAAUAGGCUCUUCCAUCCAUUGAUUACCAAGCACCGAUCUGCAUCAAUCCCAUUUCCCCCUCUCAUUUCCCUUGGAGGUCAUACCUAUGGUACAUAUAUUCCAACAUAGAGAGACUUGCAAAGAUUGUUACUGAGUGAUGUAUUUUACUGUGUCAAACUAAAUGGGCAGUUAUUAGAGAGUCUUGUGGUACUAACUUUUAACAAAAGGUGUUACCACAAUUAGUUGUUUCAAAAUGUAGUUUAUAGAUUUCUAAUUACUUUUACAGUAAACAUAUCUUUCCACUUCUAAUUCUGGAUUGAUAGCAAACACUCCUAUUCACUGUCUCAUUUUAAUGCCUUUUAAUAUCCCUUAUCGCUGUCAAUAUCCAGAUCAUGAAUAAUUGUUGCUGCAAUGUCACACAAAAAAAUAGGAGCUGGAGUAGGCCACCUAGCCCCUUAGGCCUGUUCCACCAUUCAAUAAGUCAUGUCUGAUCUACCCCAGGCCACACCACCUCCUCUGUGCCAGGUCCCCUGAUUUAAAAAAAAAACAACCUCCAUUUUCAAUACUUAUAAUGAGCUAGCCUCCACAAGAAUUCCCUUGGGUAGAGAAUUCCAGAGAUUCACUACCCUCUGUGAGAAGGAAUGUCUACGUACCUUGGUCUUAUAUGACCAACCCCUUACCUCGAAACUAUGUCCCCUCGUUUGCGACUUUCCCACCAGUGAAAACUUUGAAAUGUUUUGAAUCUGUUGUGGUACCCACAGCUUGCAGUGUGAGAAAUUCUUGACUAUGUAUUCAAGAAUUAAAUCACUAUAUGUAUUGAAUUAACUCCAUAACAAGAUUGCAUUUUAUCUCUAGCUAGGGAUUAUUCCAAAUGGAGGACUCUAGUUCAGUAGUCAUUUAAAGCCUUCCGAACCAUCCUUUUAAGAAAAUGUAAGGAUGAUUUAUUUUUCCUUUCAGUUUGCUUCCUUGACACAUGUACUUACUGAGCUUCCUUUUCCUCCAUCCAGUAAGAAAUGAUAGUUGAGGGUGUGUAGAUCAGCACAAAUGCCAUUGAUAACUUCCAAAGACUGAAGCUUGAUUGAGACUCCAAAGAAAGCCAGGUUUUGCUUUGCAUUGAUAACUUGCAAAGACUGAAGCUUGAUUGAGACUCCAAAGAAAGCCAGGUUUUGCUUUGCACUAGAAGAAUAUCUAGCUUAGUGCUGAUCUGCAAUGAAUAGGCUGGCUAAGAUUGAAGUUUACUCAAGUGAAAUAACAGUGGACUGCCAUCGAUAACUCAAGUACUCAGUCUUUAAAACUGCAGCCACACCACUUUUGUUUAUCACUGUGAUUAAUCAUCACAACCAUGUAACUGCUGUUUGAUAUAAAUUAGCAACAAUGACCUGUACCUCUCCAAGAAAAAGCUCAUUUAAUUUGCUGGUGCUGCAUGUCAGGGCCAAAUUGUGAGUUUAUUUCUUUUUUUUUACAUUCUCAAUGGUUCAGGUCUUUCUUUGAGGAGUUUUCAAGUAUUCUCCCAAACAUACUGAGUUGGCUGAUCUCAUACCAGAAGAGGGUACCAGUUGUUUUGCUUUGGCCUCAUUGCUCUUCCAUUUGUUUUUCCUGCUAACCUUAUCUAGGCUCAUGAUUGAAUGACCCAUUGGGAUAAGGCACUGGAGAAUUGACAUCCAUGGUACUGUAUUCAACAUGCAUACACAUCAAGAAAUGGAAAAAAAAAAUGAACAGUAGGGACAUCAAAAACUAACACCUUUGCUCAGCAUAUGAAAGUUUCAUACCAGUCACCAUUGUCUUUAAAGAUACAAAAUAUUAAUAAUUUCCAGCUCUUCCUUCACCUGCCAGAAGCACUAACUUGGGUUAACAUUUUUCUAACCAUUCAUUUUCAAUGGCAAGUUCUCUCUGUGAGGACAACAUUUAUAUUAUUUAUGGCAGUAUCUUCUUUAAUUGGCAAUUACAUUCCAAAUUAACCAAAAUGUUGCUUCAGGUGAAUGAGUGCAGCAGAUUCACAACAGUUGGUUCUGCAUCAGUGUAUUGAUUUAAAGUUGCAGACAUGCGUUGCACAUUACUUGAUGGUCGCGUUAUUCAUAACUGUUUUCAUUCCAGUACCUCUGCUACUUGAAGUGCUAUUAAUUUUGGAGUUUAUUUAUUGCAAAAUCUACUACAGAAUAAGUACCUGAUAUUUAUGUCUAAACUGAUACUUUGUAAUUUAAUAUAAAGAUGAAUGAGUAAUUUGUAAUGAAGAAAUUUUUUAAAAAUUAGACUUCCGAACUUCUCCAGGUCUACUUUCUUACUUGACGAUAUGAAUGGAUUAAUGAACAUCAGAUAUUCAAUCGCCUUUAACUAAGACCUGGCAGUGGACUGCCAGUGAUUGCCCAAGUGCAGCAUCUUUGGGAACAGCUGGAAGACUGGGCAAGGAAGAGGAAACCAAUUGGUAAAGCACAAGGCUGAAUUUGUGAUGUAUUAUCUGAGGUGUUUCCUGUCAAAACAUUCCCACAUCGUCACAGGAGGAAGAAAGGAGGAAAUGAAUGUAUUCAGGUUGAUGGUCUUUCAUCAGAAUUAGGAAAAGUUAGAAAUAUGAUGGUGUUACGGACUCAAUGAAUGUCUCUUUAAGAUAGAGAGUGUGUGUGUGUGGGGCGUGCUUACGUCAAUAGAAGAUAAAGGACGUAAUGAUGUUGUUGAAGAAGAAGAAGGAGAGAGAGAGAGAAGGGAGAGAGACACCAGCCUGCUUGUUUUCUCUAUCGAUGGAUGAGAAACAAUAACUGUGUUUGCCACUGAAAUCCAUGUAUGGAAGUUGGAAGUAAUCCGGUGGAGUUCACUUUGUUGCUGACCUGUAGAAGGAAACGGGUAUUUGUGUGUGGACGACCACGGUUCGGAUGCUUUCGGGGUGAGGAAGUCACUACCGAGUAAACACUGAAGUGUCGUUUGGGUUCCAUCGAGGAACAUUUGGAUUUCGUAUGUACUCUCUCUAUGUUUUUCUACAUCUACAUCUUAUCUUCAGACAACGGUGGUUGUUGAAGAAGCCCUUGCUCAUGUUUCACCUUAUGGCUUGCGGAACUGAACUUUAAGAACCAUUCAGGAACUGGGAGUUUUGGACUUUGUCAUACACACACACGACGAGUUUAGUUUUGGGGUUAACGUUCGAGGUUUAACAUUCUUGAAUUCUAACAUACUAACAUUUUUACUUUUAUUUUACGUAUUAUCAUAAGUAGUGAUUAAUAAAAUAGUUUUUAACACUAAAUCAUGCUCAGUGUGUUUCUUUUGUUGCUGGUUCGUGACAAUGGG